CGACUUGGAGGUUGUGCCCUUGAGGCGUGGCUUCCGGAGCUAACGCGUUAAGUCGACCGCCUGGGGAGUACGGCCGCAAGGUUAAAACUCAAAUGAAUUGACGGGGGCCCGCACAAGCGGUGGAGCAUGUGGUUUAAUUCGAUGCAACGCGAAGAACCUUACCUGGUCUUGACAUCCAGAGAAUCCUGCAGAGAUGCGGGAGUGCCUUCGGGAACUCUGAGAC
RNAcentral lists this ribosomal RNA (223 nucleotides) under Cronobacter malonaticus 681. RNAcentral describes it as "Small Subunit Ribosomal RNA; ssuRNA; SSU rRNA". It matches the Rfam family "Bacterial small subunit ribosomal RNA", at positions 813 to 1035 of the family's 1533-position model. The record is from RNAcentral. Lineage: Bacteria; Pseudomonadati; Pseudomonadota; Gammaproteobacteria; Enterobacterales; Enterobacteriaceae.